RNAcentral lists this ribosomal RNA (253 nucleotides) under uncultured bacterium. Its description in RNAcentral is "partial 16S ribosomal RNA". It matches the Rfam family "Bacterial small subunit ribosomal RNA", at positions 524 to 776 of the family's 1533-position model. The record is from RNAcentral.
UACAGGGGGGGCAAGCGUUGUUCGGAAUUACUGGGCGUAAAGGGCUCGUAGGUGGCCAACUAAGUCAGACGUGAAAUCCCUCAGCUUAACUGGGGAACUGCGUCUGAUACUGGAUGGCUUGAGUUUGGGAGAGGGAUGCGGAAUUCCCGGUGUAGCGGUGAAAUGCGUAGAUAUCGGGAAGAACACCAGUGGCGAAGGCGGCUACCUGGACUAACACUGACACUGAGAUACGAAAGCGUGGGGAGCAAACAGG